UACGUAGGGGGCGAGCGUUGUCCGGAAUUAUUGGGCGUAAAGCGCGCGCAGGCGGUCUCUUAAGUCUGAUGUGAAAGCCCACGGCUCAACCGUGGAGGGUCAUUGGAAACUGGGGGACUUGAGGGCAGGAGAGGAGAGCGGAAUUCCACGUGUAGCGGUGAAAUGCGUAGAGAUGUGGAGGAACACCAGUGGCGAAGGCGGCUCUCUGGCCUGUACCUGACGCUGAGGCGCGAAAGCGUGGGGAGCAAACAGG
RNAcentral lists this ribosomal RNA (253 nucleotides) under uncultured bacterium. Its description in RNAcentral is "partial 16S ribosomal RNA". It matches the Rfam family "Bacterial small subunit ribosomal RNA", at positions 524 to 776 of the family's 1533-position model. The record is from RNAcentral.